This 451-nucleotide ribosomal RNA is filed under the name uncultured bacterium. Its description in RNAcentral is "partial 16S ribosomal RNA". It matches the Rfam family "Bacterial small subunit ribosomal RNA", at positions 28 to 507 of the family's 1533-position model. The record is from RNAcentral.
AGCGAACGCUGGCGGCAUGCCUAACACAUGCAAGUCGCACGGGGGGGCUUCGGCCUCCCAGUGGCGGACGGGUGAGGAACGCGUAGGGACCUGUCGAGGGGUGGGGGAUAACCGCGGGAAACUGCGGCUAAUACCGCAUGACGCCGCGGCGUGACAGCCGGGGCCAAAGGCGAAAGCCGCCCGCCGAGGGGCCUGCGUCCGAUUAGCUGGUUGGCGGGGUAGCGGCCCACCAAGGCGUCGAUCGGUAGCUGGUCUGAGAGGGUGAUCAGCCACACCGGGACUGAGCCACGGCCCGGACUCCUACGGGAGGCAGCAGUGGGGAAUAUUGGACAAUGGGCGCAAGCCUGAUCCAGCAAUGCCGCGUGGGUGAAGAAGGUCUUCGGAUUGUAAAGCCCUUUCGGCGGGGACGAUGGUGACGGUACCCGCAGAAGAAGCCCCGGCUAACUUCGUG